CUGACCAGAAUUGAACCCCGGACCCCUCAGUCCGCAGGCCAACAUUCUGAGCCAAACUGGUCAGGCCAAGAUUUGUGAUUUUUAAAGUCUAUUCCAGACCCUUGAGAUACUAUAUUUCCAACAUUGGAGUUCCUGGGUUUCUAUUAAAUUAAGCAAUUUUCCUUGCUCUUGAACAUUUUCUAGAGUCGAGUUGUCCAGUAUGGUAGCCAGAAGCCAUAUGUGGCUAUUGAGCACCUGAAUGUAGUUAGUCCAAACGAAGAUGUGCUGUAAGUGUGAAAUAUACACUAGGUUUCCAGAAUUAGUAUGAAAAAUAUGUUAAAUACCUCAGUAAUAAUUUUUUUAAAUAUUGAUUUCGGAGAGGAAGGGGGAGAGAGAGAGAAACAUCAAUAAUGAGAAGGAAUCCUUGAUUAGCUGCUGCCUACAUGCCCCACCCUGGGGAUCAAGACUGAAACCAGACCAAAAUGUGCCCAGACCAAAAAUCGAACCUUGACCUCCUAGUUCAUAGGUGGAGGCUCAACCAUUGCACCACACCAGCCAGACAAUAAUUUUUGUAUUGAUUAUAUGUUGAAAUGAUCAAAUUUUUGAAUUAUGAGGUUAAAUAAAAAUAUUAAAUUUAAGUUCAUGUGUUUCUUUUUACUAUUUUGUAGGGUGGUUACUAGACAAUUUUAAUUUACAGGUGUGACUUAGCAUUUGUAUGGUUGGACAUUGCUGUUCUAGACCAACAUGAAGCCCCUAUCUUUGAGUUUGGUGGCUGGUAAUACCAAUUAGGUGGUAACUUCCAGCUGCCAUCCUAACUUCCCCAAGUUAAAUCAAGGCUUAACCUCAGACAUUGGAACCUUUUUUAAAAAAAUGUUACUAACAUUUAACACCUACCAUUUAAUCUUUAACACAGUAUUGAGUUUGAACCCAGACCAUGGAAAUAUGGUAUAGAUGUGUCUAAUUAAGUUAGAUUUGAUCACAGCUUUCCAUAUUUUGUAAAGAGAGAAACUGGGAAGUCCAAUAUGUUAGGAAUGACUCUGGAAAAAAUUUAGACCCCAAACAAAACUUCCACAAGUAAUUUUUCACUACCACUGUGCAGCAGACAGGACGGCAGUAAGAGAAGACUUGAACGAAUGAAAAGGUAACCACAACCAGCACUACUUAUAACCUUGUAAAUAUGUUUUCUCAUUUUUAAAUAUGCUCUUAUUACCCUUAAAAAGAACAGAUGAUUUUUUUUGGUGGCAUUUAAUGAACAGAAUUAAUGUAUUGCAAAAAAUGGUCAAAAUGGUACACUUUAUGUCAUAUUUCACCACAAUAUUUUGAAAAGCUUAAAGGCAUUUGUUGAGUUUAGGAUCCUCUCUAAUUAUCUUAGAAAGAACCUGGUAUGGAUUCGUGUGUGGUACUAAUCAGUAACACACUCAUACAACAGAUAAUGAAAAAUGUUUGCAAUCCAUACAUCAAAAGGCCGAUUUCCCUAAUAAACAGUGUCUAUAAAUAAAUGAGAAAAAACAAACAGACCAAUAGAAAAAUAAGCAAAUGCUAUGAACAUGGUUUUCAGAAAAGGAAAUACAAAAGGUUUCUAAAAUGUGGAAACAUUUAUAGUUUGAGACUGUUGGGACAUAAAUUAUAUAGAGAAUACAUGACUUUAAGUAAAGAGUUGCAAUGAGUGCCCCUCGGAUGCAAAGGUGACUUUUAUCGUUCCUUGAUAGUUUAACUUCUGCUUCCCUCCCUUCUAGCCAAGGCUGAGUUUCCCCAGCUUCAUUGACCAGAGAAGCAAGGGGUUUUCGUGUGUGGAAGCCAUGAGUACCUUUCAAGCUCAGGGUAAAAUCUCUCUCAUUCAACCCGUGUAAUCUUUGGCUUACUGGCAUUACCUUACUUUCCCCUAGAAAUCCCCCGAAUCAGCCUCUUAAAAGCAAGUACAGUGACCUUUCUGCACACAUUCGUCCAUUCCUGUUUUUAAUGCCUGUUUAUUAGCCAGUAAUCUGAAUCUCUGAAACCACCACUUGAUUCUGGUUUUUCCUUCAAGUUUUCUAUUCUCUUAAAGCUUCAAGCAGAAUUUAUUGUACGGUUCAUAUGGAAUGUCAGAGUAUAUGAUGGAGUAAAUGGUGUUAGGUUAGAACCACACAUACAUUAUGCCAUUUAUAUUAUAUACUGUGGGUUCAUACUUGGAUUCAGUAGUUCCUUUCUACAGAUUUACUUUUGGAAAAUGGUCAGAUUUGUGACUAGAGAUAUAUUUACCAGCAUGAUCAUUGUGAAGUUACAUAUUAGACUUUAAAAAGAAACAAAGUAAAAAACCAAACAACAUCCCCUCAGUUAUAGGAUUAAAGGAUUGCUUGUAUGGUUGCAAUCAUUAAACAUCCAGGUAGCUUUAUUUAUAUUAAUAUGAAAAGUUGUCCAUAAUAUUAAA
Pipistrellus kuhlii (Kuhl's pipistrelle) is the source of this 2386-nucleotide long non-coding RNA. RefSeq lists it as uncharacterized. Lineage: Eukaryota; Metazoa; Chordata; Mammalia; Chiroptera; Vespertilionidae. The record is from RefSeq and is a predicted model, not a curated record. The transcript has 2 exons.